UUGCUUUGAUGGAUGGCGACCGGCGCACGGGUAAGUAACACGUAUCCAACCUGCCGACAACACUGGGAUAGCCUUUCGAAAGAAAGAUUAAUACCGGAUGGUAUAGUUUUCCCGCAUGGGAUGAUUAUUAAAGAAUUUCGGUUGUCGAUGGGGAUGCGUUCCAUUAGGCAGUUGGCGGGGUAACGGCCCACCAAACCUACGAUGGAUAGGGGUUCUGAGAGGAAGGUCCCCCACAUUGGAACUGAGACACGGUCCAAACUCCUACGGGAGGCAGCAGUGAGGAAUAUUGGUCAAUGGACGAGAGUCUGAACCAGCCAAGUAGCGUGAAGGAUGACUGCCCUAUGGGUUGUAAACUUCUUUUAUACGGGAAUAAAGUUAGCCACGUGUGGUUUUUUGUAUGUACCGUAUGAAUAAGGAUCGGCUAACUCCGUGCCAGCAGCCGCGGUAAUACGGAGGAUCCGAGCGUUAUCCGGAUUUAUUGGGUUUAAAGGGAGCGUAGGCGGGUUGUUAAGUCAGUUGUGAAAGUUUGCGGCUCAACCGUAAAAUUGCAGUUGAUACUGGCGACCUUGAGUGCAACAGAGGUAGGCGGAAUUCGUGGUGUAGCGGUGAAAUGCUUAGAUAUCACGAAGAACUCCGAUUGCGAAGGCAGC
Molecule: ribosomal RNA, 650 nt
Filed under: uncultured Bacteroidales bacterium
Lineage: Bacteria; Pseudomonadati; Bacteroidota; Bacteroidia; Bacteroidales
Description: bacterial SSU rRNA
Rfam family: Bacterial small subunit ribosomal RNA
Source: RNAcentral